This 301-nucleotide ribosomal RNA is filed under the name uncultured bacterium. Its description in RNAcentral is "partial 16S ribosomal RNA". It matches the Rfam family "Bacterial small subunit ribosomal RNA", at positions 509 to 807 of the family's 1533-position model. The record is from RNAcentral.
CAGCCGCCACGGGAAUACGUAGGGUGCAAGCGUUAAUCGGAAUUACUGGGCGUAAAGCGUGCGUAGGCGGUUCGUUAAGUCUGUUGUGAAAGCCCCGGGCUCAACCUGGGAAUGGCAAUGGAUACUGGCGAGCUAGAGUGUGUCAGAGGAUGGUGGAAUUCCCGGUGUAGCGGUGAAAUGCGUAGAGAUCGGGAGGAACAUCAGUGGCGAAGGCGGCCAUCUGGGACAACACUGACGCUGAGGCACGAAAGCGUGGGGAGCAAACAGGAUUAGAUACCCCGGUAGUCCCUGUCUCUUAUAC